RNAcentral lists this small RNA (922 nucleotides) under uncultured Xanthobacteraceae bacterium. Its description in RNAcentral is "bacterial SSU rRNA". The stretch from base 1 to 489 matches the Rfam family "Bacterial small subunit ribosomal RNA", at positions 1045 to 1533 of the family's 1533-position model. The record is from RNAcentral. Lineage: Bacteria; Pseudomonadati; Pseudomonadota; Alphaproteobacteria; Hyphomicrobiales; Xanthobacteraceae.
AUGGCUGUCGUCAGCUCGUGUCGUGAGAUGUUGGGUUAAGUCCCGCAACGAGCGCAACCCUCGCCCUUAGUUGCCAUCAUUCAGUUGGGCACUCUAAGGGGACUGCCGGUGAUAAGCCGCGAGGAAGGUGGGGAUGACGUCAAGUCCUCAUGGCCCUUACAGGUUGGGCUACACACGUGCUACAAUGGCGGUGACAAUGGGACGCAAUGGGGCAACCCUGCGCAAAUCUCAAAAAGCCGUCUCAGUUCGGAUUGCACUCUGCAACUCGAGUGCAUGAAGUUGGAAUCGCUAGUAAUCGCAGAUCAGCACGCUGCGGUGAAUACGUUCCCGGGCCUUGUACACACCGCCCGUCACACCAUGGGAGUUGGUUUUACCUGAAGGCGGUGCGCUAACCCGCAAGGGAGGCAGCCGACCACGGUAGGAUCAGCGACUGGGGUGAAGUCGUAACAAGGUAGCCGUAGGGGAACCUGCGGCUGGAUCACCUCCUUUCUGGAGCGAUGAGUAGAGCGCGUCCUUGGCUGGCAACAGCUCAGGCGAUCCCCUCGAAAAUCCUCAAGAAUUGUCGCUCGACUCGUACAACUCCUCUCUUCGAUCUCGAUUGCUCAACGGCACGGCGCACAGGCCCAUCAGGGACAACUCUGAUGGGCCUGUGUCGCCACCCAUGCUGUUUGACAACGGAAGUUGGUGUAGAUCGUGGGAAGCGAAUCAUCACAUUGACGACAAUUUCGUUUUUGUUUUUUUGUUGUUAGUUCUGAUAGAAACGCGCGUGCUCUGCUUGCUACGAACUAUGUAGUCAAGCGAGCGAAGGCAUGUGGAGGAUGCCUGGGCACACGGAGGCGAGGAAGGCCGCGGUAAGCUGCGAUAAGCCAGGGGGAGCGGCACACACGCACUGAUCCCUGGAUGGCCGAAUGGGGAAACCCGG